Long non-coding RNA from Rhagoletis pomonella (apple maggot), 764 nucleotides. RefSeq lists it as uncharacterized. The transcript is spliced from 3 exons. The record is from RefSeq and is a predicted model, not a curated record. Lineage: Eukaryota; Metazoa; Arthropoda; Insecta; Diptera; Tephritidae.
AGCCAGCCAGCCAGAGCGAGUCAGUCAUGCAGCCAAAUACAUACCUACUCACCAGCCAGCCAGCUUGCUAACCAGCCAACGGAUACAUUUUUCCGACAUUCAAUUGGAAUAAUUUGUUAUUUCGCAGACGGCAUUCGAGGAAGACGCAUGCAAGCGAGCUAAUAAGCCGGACAAACGCAAGGCAAGCAGAACCAUACAGUGAGCUAGUGAGCGCGUGUGAACACCACUUAAGUGAGUGUGAAUAGUGAAUAGUUCUCGAAUAAAUGAAUGGAUAAGAAAAAAGAAAAGCUGUGCUAUUUAGGAAAUCUACUGCUGCUAUCGUAGAGUUGCUUCUGGCUACUUACGCGCUGAACCAAAAACGUUUCUACGCUGUUGGUCGCCGCGGUCGCUCACUUCUCGCUUUAUAUGUAAGUAAAUAGAAACGUGCGCGCAUGUUUUUCGGCGUGUUUUUCAUGUGAUUUAACACACACGCACACGUACGCAAGCAAAAUACGUAACGUCUAAUUAGCGAAAAGUGUGAGGUGAUCAAGCUCCCGCGUGCGAGUCAAGGUAGCGCGAGUAAGACAAAGGUACAGAGUUGGAAGAAAAAUACAAAAUUACAGUAUAAACAAGUAUUAAAAACGACCAACGGCCGAAAAUAGCGCUGUUGAAUAACCACAAUAAUCGAAAAAAGUCGCGUAAGGCGUCAAAAAAAAAUAAACAAAGCGACGAGAAUAUUGCCAUCACAGUGCAUGCAAUACAAACAAAAAUAGUAUAAAUAAACA